UAUUAAAAAUUUCAUCAAUUUUUUCUGUUAAAAAUUGACGUGACUGAUAAAAUAACUAGACAAUUACAUGCAGUGUGCCUAGUGUAUAUCAUGUUGACGUAUAAAGAUAAAUUUUAACAAUGAAAAUGAAAGUUUUUAACA
Molecule: non-coding RNA, 141 nt
Organism: Gossypium hirsutum (cotton)
Lineage: Eukaryota; Viridiplantae; Streptophyta; Magnoliopsida; Malvales; Malvaceae
Source: Rfam